This 28-nucleotide small RNA is filed under the name Bombyx mori (domestic silkworm). RNAcentral's name for it is "ovarian small RNA-26952". Lineage: Eukaryota; Metazoa; Arthropoda; Insecta; Lepidoptera; Bombycidae. The record is from RNAcentral.
UCCAUCGAAAAACAGACCAAAAGUGGCC